GUGGGGAAUAUUGGGCAAUGGGGGAAACCCUGACCCAGCGACGCCGCGUGAGGGAAGAAGGCCUUAGGGUCGUAAACCUCUGUUGUGUGGGAAGAAGAGCGUGACGGUACCACACGAGGAAGUCCCGGCUAACUACGUGCCAGCAGCCGCGGUAAUACGUAGGGGACGAGCGUUGUCCGGAUUUACUGGGCGUAAAGGGCGCGUAGGCGGUCAUUUAAGUCAGCUGUGAAAUGGUUUGGCUUAACCGGAUCAUGCAGUUGAAACUGGAUGACUGGAGUGCUGGAUAGGCAAGUGGAAUUCCCAGUGUAGCGGUGAAAUGCGUAGAUAUUGGGAAGAACACCGGUGGCGAAGGCGACUUGCUGGCCAGCAACUGACGCUGAGGCGCGAAAGCCAGGGGAGCAAACGGGAUUAGAAACCCUGGUAGUCC
RNAcentral lists this ribosomal RNA (427 nucleotides) under uncultured bacterium. Its description in RNAcentral is "partial 16S ribosomal RNA". It matches the Rfam family "Bacterial small subunit ribosomal RNA", at positions 354 to 796 of the family's 1533-position model. The record is from RNAcentral.